RNAcentral lists this ribosomal RNA (1509 nucleotides) under Helicobacter pylori. RNAcentral describes it as "bacterial SSU rRNA". It matches the Rfam family "Bacterial small subunit ribosomal RNA". The record is from RNAcentral. Lineage: Bacteria; Pseudomonadati; Campylobacterota; Epsilonproteobacteria; Campylobacterales; Helicobacteraceae.
UUUAUGGAGAGUUUGAUCCUGGCUCAGAGUGAACGCUGGCGGCGUGCCUAAUACAUGCAAGUCGAACGAUGAAGCUUCUAGCUUGCUAGAGUGCUGAUUAGUGGCGCACGGGUGAGUAACGCAUAGGUCAUGUGCCUCUUAGUUUGGGAUAGCCAUUGGAAACGAUGAUUAAUACCAGAUACUCCCUAUGGGGGAAAGAUUUAUCGCUAAGAGAUCAGCCUAUGUCCUAUCAGCUUGUUGGUAAGGUAAUGGCUUACCAAGGCUAUGACGGGUAUCCGGCCUGAGAGGGUGAACGGACACACUGGAACUGAGACACGGUCCAGACUCCUACGGGAGGCAGCAGUAGGGAAUAUUGCUCAAUGGGGGAAACCCUGAAGCAGCAACGCCGCGUGGAGGAUGAAGGUUUUAGGAUUGUAAACUCCUUUUGUUAGAGAAGAUAAUGACGGUAUCUAACGAAUAAGCACCGGCUAACUCCGUGCCAGCAGCCGCGGUAAUACGGAGGGUGCAAGCGUUACUCGGAAUCACUGGGCGUAAAGAGCGCGUAGGCGGGAUAGUCAGUCAGGUGUGAAAUCCUAUGGCUUAACCAUAGAACUGCAUUUGAAACUACUAUUCUAGAGUGUGGGAGAGGUAGGUGGAAUUCUUGGUGUAGGGGUAAAAUCCGUAGAGAUCAAGAGGAAUACUCAUUGCGAAGGCGACCUGCUGGAACAUUACUGACGCUGAUUGCGCGAAAGCGUGGGGAGCAAACAGGAUUAGAUACCCUGGUAGUCCACGCCCUAAACGAUGGAUGCUAGUUGUUGGAGGGCUUAGUCUCUCCAGUAAUGCAGCUAACGCAUUAAGCAUCCCGCCUGGGGAGUACGGUCGCAAGAUUAAAACUCAAAGGAAUAGACGGGGACCCGCACAAGCGGUGGAGCAUGUGGUUUAAUUCGAAGAUACACGAAGAACCUUACCUAGGCUUGACAUUGAGAGAAUCCGCUAGAAAUAGUGGAGUGUCUAGCUUGCUAGACCUUGAAAACAGGUGCUGCACGGCUGUCGUCAGCUCGUGUCGUGAGAUGUUGGGUUAAGUCCCGCAACGAGCGCAACCCCCUUUCUUAGUUGCUAACAGGUCAUGCUGAGAACUCUAAGGAUACUGCCUCCGUAAGGAGGAGGAAGGUGGGGACGACGUCAAGUCAUCAUGGCCCUUACGCCUAGGGCUACACACGUGCUACAAUGGGGUGCACAAAGAGAAGCAAUACUGCGAAGUGGAGCCAAUCUUCAAAACACCUCUCAGUUCGGAUUGUAGGCUGCAACUCGCCUGCAUGAAGCUGGAAUCGCUAGUAAUCGCAAAUCAGCCAUGUUGCGGUGAAUACGUUCCCGGGUCUUGUACUCACCGCCCGUCACACCAUGGGAGUUGUGUUUGCCUUAAGUCAGGAUGCUAAAUUGGCUACUGCCCACGGCACACACAGCGACUGGGGUGAAGUCGUAACAAGGUAACCGUAGGUGAACCUGCGGUUGGAUCACCUCCUUUCUAGA